Molecule: ribosomal RNA, 253 nt
Filed under: uncultured bacterium
Lineage: Bacteria
Description: partial 16S ribosomal RNA
Rfam family: Bacterial small subunit ribosomal RNA
Source: RNAcentral
UACGAAGGGGGCUAGCGUUGCUCGGAAUCACUGGGCGUAAAGGGCGCGUAGGCGGCUUUAUAAGUCGGGGGUGAAAGCCUGUGGCUCAACCACAGAAUUGCCUUCGAUACUGUAGAGCUUGAGACCGGAAGAGGUAAGUGGAACUGCGAGUGUAGAGGUGAAAUUCGUAGAUAUUCGCAAGAACACCAGUGGCGAAGGCGGCUUACUGGUCCGGUUCUGACGAUGAGGCGCGAAAGCGUGGGGAGCAAACAGG